UUUGAUGCUCCGUGUCAUAACUUGUCAAUAAAGUGUUAAGAAUCUGUCCUACACUGCGUGGGACGAUUUUCUGAACAUAUAUAUCAAUAUCUUAAUAAGGUAAUAAGGAAGACAUGUCAUAUAGAGACUGUUUAUGGAUCUGGAAUGACAUAUAAUAAACAAAUUAGCCAUAAUACUUAUCAGUACAUCUAGAACCAACUUAUU
RNAcentral lists this long non-coding RNA (204 nucleotides) under Mytilus galloprovincialis (Mediterranean mussel). The record is from RNAcentral. Lineage: Eukaryota; Metazoa; Mollusca; Bivalvia; Mytilida; Mytilidae.